Cyprinus carpio carpio is the source of this 477-nucleotide long non-coding RNA. The record is from Ensembl. Lineage: Eukaryota; Metazoa; Chordata; Actinopteri; Cypriniformes; Cyprinidae.
AGGAUGGCAUAUAUGUAACGGCAGAUUCCAGCUUCAAUUACAAUGCCUCUCCAAGGGUCUAAACAACAGUAGAAAUCCGAGAACUGACCUGUGAAAACUCCUUUAUUUUGCCCUACGCUGGAGCCAACAGAGGCUUUGAUGGAAGUCCUUUCCCUGUCACCUGGAGAGAGGCUGAGCCACUCUGUCUAUAUGGCACUUAACCACGGCUCUCAGACAAACACAGAGGAUGCAGCAUGGACACGGAACGUCCGUCAUGGCCGACUAACAGAAAAUAGACCCCUCAAGCCCUAUUACUCUCUCCUCUGUCAGGAAGGAGUUAACCCCGCAAAGACUGAACAUUAGGGUCAAAUGUUAACAGAGCAUGUAAUUAAUGUCAUGAGUCCCCUUGACCAAUGAGGCGGACUCGCGCUGUCUGUUCUCAACUAGCCAACAGGAUCAGAGCGUGCAGGAAUUCAUUCAGAUCUCAUAAUCAAUAAG